Molecule: ribosomal RNA, 1348 nt
Filed under: uncultured bacterium
Lineage: Bacteria
Description: bacterial SSU rRNA
Rfam family: Bacterial small subunit ribosomal RNA
Source: RNAcentral
GAUGAACGCUAGCGGGAGGCCUAACACAUGCAAGCCGAGCGGUAUUUGGUAGCUUGCUACUAGAGAGAGCGGCGUACGGGUGCGGAACAUGUGUGCAACCUACCCUUAUCAAGGGGAUAGCCCGGAGAAAUUCGGAUUAAUACCCUAUAAUAUAUUGAAUGGCAUCAUUUGGUAUUGAAAGUUACGACGGAUAAGGAUGGGCACGCACAAGAUUAGCUAGUUGGUGAGGUAACGGCUCACCAAGGCGAUGAUCUUUAGGGGGCCUGAGAGGGUGAUCCCCCACACUGGGACCGAGACACGGCCCAGACUCCUACGGGAGGCAGCAGUGAGGAAUAUUGGACAAUGGGUGGAAGCCUGAUCCAGCCAUCCCGCGUGAAGGAUGAAGGUUCUAUGGAUUGUAAACUUCUUUUAUAUGGGGAUAAACCUACUCUCGUGAGGGUAGCUGAAGGUACCAUAUGAAUAAGCACCGGCUAACUCCGUGCCAGCAGCCGCGGUAAUACGGAAGGUCCAGGCGUUAUCCGGAUUUAUUGGGUUUAAAGGGAGCGUAGGCGGAUUAUUAAGUCAGUGGUGAAAGACGGUGGCUCAACCAUCGUUAGCCAUUGAAACUGGUAGUCUUGAGUGCAGACAGGGAUGCUGGAACUCGUGGUGUAGCGGUGAAAUGCUUAGAUAUCACGAUGAACUCCAAUCGCGAAGGCAGGUGUCCGGGCUGCAACUGACGCUGAGGCUCGAAAGUGUGGGUAUCAAACAGGAUUAGAUACCCUGGUAGUCCACACAGUAAACGAUGUAUACUCGCGGUUUGCGAUAUAUUGUAAGCCGCCAAGCGAAAGCAUUAAGUAUACCACCUGGGGAGUACGCCGGCAACGGUGAAACUCAAAGGAAUUGACGGGGGCCCGCACAAGCGGAGGAACAUGUGGUUUAAUUCGAUGAUACGCGAGGAACCUUACCCGGGCUUGAACUAAGAGUGACGAAUCUAGAGAUAGAUUUUUCUUCGGACACUCUUGGAGGUGCUGCAUGGUUGUCGUCAGCUCGUGCCGUGAGGUGUCGGCUUAAGUGCCAUAACGAGCGCAACCCUUUUCCUUGGUUGCCAUCAGGUAAUGCUGGGCACUCCAGGGAUACUGCCAUCGUAAGAUGUGAGGAAGGUGGGGAUGACGUCAAAUCAGCACGGCCCUUACGUCCGGGGCUACACACGUGUUACAAUGGGGGGUACAGAAGGUCGCUACCUGGUGACAGGAUGCUAAUCUGCAAAACCUCUCUCAGUUCGGAUCGGAGUCUGCAACCCGACUCCAUGAAGCUGGAUUCGCUAGUAAUCGCGCAUCAGCCAUGGCGCGGUGAAUACGUUCCCGGGCCU